RNAcentral lists this long non-coding RNA (289 nucleotides) under Ornithorhynchus anatinus (platypus). RNAcentral's name for it is "lncRNA (ENSOANG00000038272.1)". Lineage: Eukaryota; Metazoa; Chordata; Mammalia; Monotremata; Ornithorhynchidae. The record is from RNAcentral.
AGGUGGGAUUAUAUUCAAUUUAUAUGUUUGGGUUUUUUGCAUAUUUCUACUUACCUAUUUCAGUGCUUUUCCCAAAGGAGAUGGUCAAAAAAUUGUAUUCAUGAAAAAACAAACAAACUGAAGGUACUGCAACUACUGCUUUAAGUGAAACAAGGAACACAGGAGAGAGGACAUACUCCUUCCCCUCAGCCUAUAUUAUUGCCCCCACCACUGUGAGCCGCUCCCUGGGAUUUUCACUGUUGCUGCCUCACUUGCAGCCAGUCGAAGCUGGCGGAUAUGGAAGCUCUGC